UGGGACAUGGUCUAAUGGUAGGACAGGAGAUUUUGGUUCUUCUAAUCGAGGUUCGACUCCUCGUGUCCCAGCCA
RNAcentral lists this transfer RNA (74 nucleotides) under Coriobacteriales bacterium. RNAcentral describes it as "tRNA-Gln". It matches the Rfam family "tRNA". From Rfam's summary of the family: Transfer RNA (tRNA) molecules are approximately 80 nucleotides in length. Their secondary structure includes four short double-helical elements and three loops (D, anti-codon, and T loops). Lineage: Bacteria; Bacillati; Actinomycetota; Coriobacteriia; Coriobacteriales. The record is from RNAcentral.